AAGUCUGACGGAGCAACGCCGCGUGAGUGAUGAAGGUUUUCGGAUCGUAAAGCUCUGUUGUUAGGGAAGAACAAGUGCAAGAGUAACUGCUUGCACCUUGACGGUACCUAACCAGAAAGCCACGGCUAACUACGUGCCAGCAGCCGCGGUAAUACGUAGGUGGCAAGCGUUGUCCGGAAUUAUUGGGCGUAAAGGGCUCGCAGGCGGUUUCUUAAGUCUGAUGUGAAAGCCCCCGGCUCAACCGGGGAGGGUCAUUGGAACUGGGAAACUUGAGUGCAGAAGAGGAGAGUGGAAUUCCACGUGUAGCGGUGAAAUGCGUAGAGAUGUGGAGGAACACCAGUGGCGAAGGCGACUCUCUGGUCUGUAACUGACGCUGAGGAGCGAAAGCGUGGGGAGCGAACAGGAUUAGAUACCCUGGUAGUCCACGCCGUAAACGAUGAGUGCUAAGUGUUAGGGGGUUUCCGCCCCUUAGUGCUGCAGCUAACGCAUUAAGCACUCCGCCUGGGGAGUACGGUCCAAGACUGAAACUCAAAGGAAUUGACGGGGGCCCGCACAAGCGGUGGAGCAUGUGGUUUAAUUCGAAGCAACGCGAAGAACCUUACCAGGUCUUGACAUCCUCUGACAACCCUAGAGAUAGGGCUUUCCCUUCGGGGACAGAGUGACAGGUGGUGCAUGGUUGUCGUCAGCUCGUGUCGUGAGAUGUUGGGUUAAGUCCCGCAACGAGCGCAACCCUUGAUCUUAGU
This 743-nucleotide ribosomal RNA is filed under the name Bacillus sp. CR61. RNAcentral's name for it is "bacterial SSU rRNA". It matches the Rfam family "Bacterial small subunit ribosomal RNA", at positions 379 to 1115 of the family's 1533-position model. Lineage: Bacteria; Bacillati; Bacillota; Bacilli; Caryophanales; Bacillaceae. The record is from RNAcentral.